AACGAACGCUGGCGGCAUGCCUAACACAUGCAAGUCGAACGAGACCUUCGGGUCUAGUGGCGCACGGGUGCGUAACGCGUGGGAACCUGCCCUUAGGUUCGGAAUAACUCCCCGAAAGGGGUGCUAAUACCGGAUAAUGUCUUCGGACCAAAGAUUUAUCGCCUUUGGAUGGGCCCGAGUUGGAUUAGCUAGUUGGUAGGGUAAAAGCCUACCAAGGCGACGAUCCAUAACUGGUCUGAGAGGAUGAUCAGCCACACUGGGACUGAGACACGGCCCAGACUCCUACGGGAGGCAGCAGUGGGGAAUAUUGGACAAUGGGCGAAAGCAUGAUCCAGCAAUGCCGCGUGAGUGAUGAAGGCCUUAGGGUUGUAAAGCGCUUUUAACCGGGAUGAUAAUGACAGUACCGGGAGAAUAAGCCCCGGCUAACUCCGUG
RNAcentral lists this ribosomal RNA (433 nucleotides) under uncultured bacterium. Its description in RNAcentral is "partial 16S ribosomal RNA". It matches the Rfam family "Bacterial small subunit ribosomal RNA", at positions 29 to 507 of the family's 1533-position model. The record is from RNAcentral.